RNAcentral lists this ribosomal RNA (909 nucleotides) under uncultured bacterium. RNAcentral's name for it is "bacterial SSU rRNA". It matches the Rfam family "Bacterial small subunit ribosomal RNA", at positions 8 to 916 of the family's 1533-position model. The record is from RNAcentral.
AGAGUUUGAUCAUGGCUCAGGGUUAACGCUGGCGGCGUGCCUUACACAUGCAAGUCGAACGGGGCUAUCAGCGAUGGUAGCUUAGUGGCGAACGGGUGAGGAAGACUCAGGGACCUACCGACCAGAGGGGGAUACCCGCUGGAAACGGCGGAUAAAACCGCAUACGCCCGGGUGAAAGCCCGGGGAAAAGCACUACGGUGUUACUGGACGAGGGACCUGCGGCCCAUCAGGUAGUUGGGGAGGUAACGGCUCACCAAGCCGACGACGGGUAUCUGGCGUGAGAGCGCGAACAGGCACAAGGACACUGAGAGACGGGUCCUACUCCUACGGGAGGCAGCAGUGGGGAAUAUUGGACAAUGGGCGAAAGCCUGAUCCAGCGACGCCGCGUGUCGGAAGGAGUCCUUCGGGAUGUAAACGACUUUUGGUGGAGACGAAUAAGCAGCUCAGGGAAUGGGGCUGUGAUGACGGUAUCCAUGGAAUAAGCCCCGGCUAACUACGUGCCAGCAGCCGCGGUAAGACGUAGGGGGCAAGCGUUACCCGGAAUUACUGGGCGUAAAGGGAGCGUAGGCGGGAGGUCAAGUCCGGUGUGAAAGACCCUGGCUCAACCAGGGAUGAGGGCUGGAAACUGACAAUCUUGAGUACAGCAGAGGAAGAGGGAAUUACCGGUGUAGGGGUGAAAUCCGUAGAGACCGGUAAGAAGGCCAGUGGCGAAGGCGCUUUUCUGGGCUGUUACUGACGCUGAGGCUCGAAAGCCAGGGGAGCAAACCGGAUUAGAUACCCGGGUAGUCCUGGCCGUAAACGAUGCUCACUAGGUGUGGGGCGCAUAGCGUGCUCUGCGCUGAAGCAAACGCAAUAAGUGAGCCGCCUGGGGAGUACGUCCGCAAGGAUGAAACUCAAAUGAAUUGACGG